AAUUAAAUUUUAAAUAUUUUUAUGAUAAAAAAUUUAAUAUUAUGUCAUAAUACAUCUUUUAGAUGAGAAAAGAUACGGCAAUAGUAUAUUUUUAUGGUGGAAACUCAAUAAUUUAACUGAUUUGACUAAAUUUUCAUUUAACGGCGAAAUCAAAAGCACCUGAGUUUUGGUCAUAUUUCUAUCAUGUUUCAACACAAAUUUAAUAACGGUAACGGAAUAAGCCACGAACCAUAAAUCAUUAAAUCCCCACCUGAUGACCUGAAAACAAUAAUUUUAAAUAAAUCUCAUAAUGAUCUCUAAGAUUCACAUAAUUAUCCGAUUUAGUUCUCGAGAUUCUAAUUUUCCUAUAGUGGUCCCUUAGAUAAAGUUCAGGACACCAUAGUGGUCCUGUUAUCGUUUCCGGUGAUGAGUUAGCAGUUGCCAAAAUGUUGUCAGUUUUAGUUUGGCGCCCACUUUUGGCAAGUACGACGCCAUUCAAGUCAAAUUAAGCAUGUAAAACGGGUUUGAUCAAACACCCUCAUUUCACUCGUCUUCUCCACUUUCACCCGUCCUUUUCUUCUUUUUUUUUUCCUCCUCUAUUCAUUAAUGGCGCUGCCGUAAAGUUCCGUUGGUAGGGUUAAAAUUCUUGCGUCAGAAAGACAUUUGAAUCAGGUCUCACUUCGUCGUUUGUCUCCUCCAUCAUAAGCAAGAGAGCAGCCAUUGGAUCCGAUGGAACUCCCCAUGUUAGUGCUAUCAUCUCCUAUCAUGGUUUCUGAAUAUCAACAUUAAUCAUCGAUGAAGUAAAAAAAGAUGAUAAAAAAGAAAAAAAAUGAGGAGAUGAAAUGCACAACAUAAGCGCUAUAUUAGGGAUUAGGGUUAUAUAUUGAGCUCGGUACCAAAUUGGAAAUAAAUUGGAUUUAAGCCAUGUCACCGAAUAGGAACUACUAUGGUGUCCAGAGAUGUAUCUCUGGGAGA
This is a non-coding RNA of Arachis ipaensis, 954 nucleotides long. NCBI's taxonomy places the organism in Eukaryota, Viridiplantae, Streptophyta, Magnoliopsida, Fabales, Fabaceae. The record is from RefSeq and is a predicted model, not a curated record.